RNAcentral lists this ribosomal RNA (253 nucleotides) under uncultured bacterium. RNAcentral describes it as "partial 16S ribosomal RNA". It matches the Rfam family "Bacterial small subunit ribosomal RNA", at positions 524 to 776 of the family's 1533-position model. The record is from RNAcentral.
UACGUAGGGUGCAAGCGUUAAUCGGAAUUACUGGGCGUAAAGGGUGCGCAGGCGGUUUGCCAAGCUUGAUGUGAAAGCCCCGGGCUUAACCUGGGACGUGCAUUGAGAACUGGUAGACUAGAGUACGUUAGAGGGGGGUGGAAUUCCACGUGUAGCAGUGAAAUGCGUAGAUAUGUGGAGGAACACCGAUGGCGAAGGCAGCCCCCUGGGAUGAUACUGACGCUCAAGCACGAAAGCGUGGGUAGCAAACAGG